UUCUACACACAGUAUCUCUUGUCAAUAUAAUAUGGUUAAUGGCCAGGAAUGCUGGGAGCCACACGAUGCUGGAAGGCAGGUUUUCACUCCUUCUGCCUCUGACACAUGCCCAGUGUUCCUAGCUGUGAAGUGGCCAAGUCUCAUGGGGCUUCCACGGGAGUAA
Molecule: long non-coding RNA, 163 nt
Filed under: Cricetulus griseus (Chinese hamster)
Lineage: Eukaryota; Metazoa; Chordata; Mammalia; Rodentia; Cricetidae
Description: lncRNA (ENSCGRG00000025506.1)
Source: RNAcentral